ACUGUAACCGUUUUUGUGUUCUUUUACUUAAAAUAUCUUGAAAAGCAGUCCACCGUGUGUAGCGAAGAAGGGUGCAAAGACAAGUGAUUCAACAGCCAUUAGCUUGAUGAGGAUGUUCAGUGAUGGUCCGGAUGUAUCCUUUAGAGGGUCCCCAAUGGUGUCACCGAUAACAGCUGCCUUAUGUGGUUCUGAUCCUUUGGGACCAAGAGUUCUUGCAUGUUCUGAAGCACCGGCCUGCAUUCCACAACAAAGUCCACACCAUAAAUAUAAUAGAACCAUUAACUUCAAAACAACAAAAUUACAGUCAGUCAAAUCAUGGAUACCUCGAUAUACUUCUUAGCAUUAUCCCAAGCACCCCCUGUGUUCGAUGCGGAGAUAGCAAUCUACAAAUAUUACCAAGACAGAAACAACUUAAAAAUGAUCCUCUUGUAGGAGAAUUACAAGGUUGUGGUGACCCGAUAUUAAGACUUGUUAACAUUACCUGGACGCCAGAGACGAGGGAUCCAGCAAGGACACCGGAGAGAGUUUCCACACCAAAAAAGAUCCCAACAAUAAGGGGUGUGAGCAUAACUAGCGCACCAGGUGGGAUCAUUUCUUUGAUGGAAGCAUCAGUAGAGAUUUUAACACAGGUAGCAUAGUCUGGCUUAGCAGUGCCCUCCAUGAGACCUGGGAUCGUGUUAAAUUGCCG
This 688-nucleotide long non-coding RNA is filed under the name Gossypium barbadense (sea-island cotton). RNAcentral describes it as "long non-coding RNA (GBAR_LNC016903)". The record is from RNAcentral. Lineage: Eukaryota; Viridiplantae; Streptophyta; Magnoliopsida; Malvales; Malvaceae.